Pangasius djambal is the source of this 75-nucleotide non-coding RNA. NCBI's taxonomy places the organism in Eukaryota, Metazoa, Chordata, Actinopteri, Siluriformes, Pangasiidae. The record is from the annotation of a GenBank genome assembly.
AUGCCGGUGGCUUAGUGGUUAACGCGCCUGCCUCGUACCUGCAGGGCUCAGGGUUCAACUCCUGCCUCCGCCCUG